Molecule: small nuclear RNA, 105 nt
Organism: Pteronotus mesoamericanus
Lineage: Eukaryota; Metazoa; Chordata; Mammalia; Chiroptera; Mormoopidae
Source: RefSeq, a predicted model, not a curated record
UCGGUCAUCAGCAGCAAACAUACUAACACUGGAACAAUACAGAGAUCAAAAGCAUGACCUCUGUGCAAGGAUGACAUGCAAAUUCAUCAAUCAUUCCAUUUCUUC